This 694-nucleotide ribosomal RNA is filed under the name uncultured bacterium. Its description in RNAcentral is "bacterial SSU rRNA". It matches the Rfam family "Bacterial small subunit ribosomal RNA", at positions 32 to 715 of the family's 1533-position model. The record is from RNAcentral.
AACGCUAGCUACAGGCUUAACACAUGCAAGUCGAGGGGCAGCAUGAUUGAAGCUUGCUUCAAUUGAUGGCGACCGGCGCACGGGUGAGUAACACGUAUCCAACCUUCCGUACACUCAGGGAUAGCCUUUCGAAAGAAAGAUUAAUACCUGAUGGUAUCUUAAGCACACAUGUAAUUAAGAUUAAAGAUUUAUCGGUGUACGAUGGGGAUGCGUUCCAUUAGGUAGUAGGCGGGGUAACGGCCCACCUAGCCUACGAUGGAUAGGGGUUCUGAGAGGAAGGUCCCCCACAUUGGAACUGAGACACGGUCCAAACUCCUACGGGAGGCAGCAGUGAGGAAUAUUGGUCAAUGGACGAGAGUCUGAACCAGCCAAGUAGCGUGAAGGAUGAAGGUCCUACGGAUUGUAAACUUCUUUUAUAAGGGAAUAAGACCUCCCACGUGUGGGAGCUUGUAUGUACCUUAUGAAUAAGCAUCGGCUAACUCCGUGCCAGCAGCCGCGGUAAUACGGAGGAUGCGAGCGUUAUCCGGAUUUAUUGGGUUUAAAGGGAGCGCAGACGGGUCGUUAAGUCAGCUGUGAAAGUUUGGGGCUCAACCUUAAAAUUGCAGUUGAUACUGGCGUCCUUGAGUGCGGUUGAGGUGUGCGGAAUUCGUGGUGUAGCGGUGAAAUGCUUAGAUAUCACGAAGAACUCCGAUUG